Molecule: ribosomal RNA, 397 nt
Filed under: Helicobacter pylori
Lineage: Bacteria; Pseudomonadati; Campylobacterota; Epsilonproteobacteria; Campylobacterales; Helicobacteraceae
Description: bacterial LSU rRNA
Rfam family: Bacterial large subunit ribosomal RNA
Source: RNAcentral
CCUUCCGGCCUUUUUACCAAAACACAGCACUUUGCCAACUCGUAAGAGGAAGUAUAAGGUGUGACGCCUGCCCGGUGCUCGAAGGUUAAGAGGAUGCGUCAGUCGCAAGAUGAAGCGUUGAAUUGAAGCCCGAGUAAACGGCGGCCGUAACUAUAACGGUCCUAAGGUAGCGAAAUUCCUUGUCGGUUAAAUACCGACCUGCAUGAAUGGCGUAACGAGAUGGGAGCUGUCUCAACCAGAGAUUCAGUGAAAUUGUAGUGGAGGUGAAAAUUCCUCCUACCCGCGGCAAGACGGAAAGACCCCGUGGACCUUUACUACAACUUAGCACUGCUAAUGGGAAUAUCAUGCGCAGGAUAGGUGGGAGGCUUUGAAGUAAGGGCUUUGGCUCUUAUGGAGA